GAUGAACGCUAGCUACAGGCUUAACACAUGCAAGUCGAGGGGCAGCAUGAACUUAGCUUGCUAAGUUUUAUGGCGACCGGCGCACGGGUGAGUAACACGUAUCCAACCUGCCGAUGACUCGGGGAUAGCCUUUCGAAAGAAAGAUUAAUACCCGAUGGCAUAGUUCUUCCGCAUGGUAGAACUAUUAAAGAAUUUCGGUCAUCGAUGGGGAUGCGUUCCAUUAGGUUGUUGGCGGGGUAACGGCCCACCAAGCCUUCGAUGGAUAGGGGUUCUGAGAGGAAGGUCCCCCACAUUGGAACUGAGACACGGUCCAAACUCCUACGGGAGGCAGCAGUGAGGAAUAUUGGUCAAUGGACGAGAGUCUGAACCAGCCAAGUAGCGUGAAGGAUGACUGCCCUAUGGGUUGUAAACUUCUUUUAUACGGGAAUAAAGUGAGGCACGUGUGCCUUUUUGUAUGUACCGUAUGAAUAAGGAUCGGCUAACUCCGUG
RNAcentral lists this ribosomal RNA (489 nucleotides) under uncultured bacterium. Its description in RNAcentral is "partial 16S ribosomal RNA". It matches the Rfam family "Bacterial small subunit ribosomal RNA", at positions 28 to 507 of the family's 1533-position model. The record is from RNAcentral.